Molecule: ribosomal RNA, 492 nt
Filed under: uncultured bacterium
Lineage: Bacteria
Description: partial 16S ribosomal RNA
Rfam family: Bacterial small subunit ribosomal RNA
Source: RNAcentral
AGUGAACGCUGGCGGUAGGCCUAACACAUGCAAGUCGAACGGCAGCACAGUAAGAGUUCGCUCUUACGGGUGGCGAGUGGCGGAUGGGUGAGGAAUACAUCGGAAUCUACUUUUUCGUGGGGGAUAACGUAGGGCAACAUACGCUGAUACCGCAUACGAUCUACCGGUUAAAGCAGGGGUUCUUCGGAGCUUGCGCGUUUGUAUGAGCCGAUGUCGGAUUAGCUAGUUGGGAGGGUAAAGGCCCACCAAGGCAACGAUCCGUAGCUGGCCUGAGAGGGUGAUCGGCCACACUGGAACUGAGACACGGUCCAGACUCCUACGGGAGGCAGCAGUAGGGAAUCUUGGACAAUGGGCGCAAGCCUGACCCAGCCAUACCGCGUGAGUGAAGAAGGCCUUCGGGUUGUAAAACCCUUUUGUUGGGAAAGAAAAACAGCAGAUUAAUCCCCCGCUGUUCUGACGGUACCCAAAGAAUAAGCACCGGCUAACUUCGUG